CCAAGCCCAGAGCCAGCACAUAGUGGGUGCUCAGAAAAUCCGAGCUGCCACUGCCACUGCCACCACCCCCAAGGCCCCGGCAUUGAACAGAGACUAGCACAUGGCUGUCUGUACAUAGCCGUUGAAUGAAUGAAUGAAUGAACAAACCAACCAUGGCUCAUUCUGGACAAAAACUCAUAAUUUAGGCCAUGAUAAGAGAUCCCAUGGCAAGGAAUUUUGAACUCGUAAGACUUACCUGCAAACCCUGCUGAAAAGUAAAAGAAAAAGGAAAAAGAACUAAGCCAAGCCCUCAAGCUGGCCAUGAGGUCCCGGGGUGUUUGUUUCGGGUGGAGGGGCCUGAGUCACCCCCAGCCUAUUUGCUGGGCUGUUUGGGUUUUGACCGUUUCCCAGGUCUGGCAAUGCCUGGCCUGUGAUAUCUGUGUUUGACACAACAUGGAGCCUGAGGUGGGGGCAGGAGCGGGGAGCAGGAGAGGUGGCCACGGUCUUGCUGCCCGCUGGCAGUCCCUGCCCCGCCUCCAGUACCUAGCCUGCCGCACUCCUCGCGCUUGGUGAAGUACUUGAAUCCAUUGGCCGCCCGCCGCUCAGCCUUUUCGUGCUUCUUUACGUGCCACGGCAGCUUGGUGGUGAUGUUGGUCACGAAGUGGCAGCCGGUCCGGAGGCAGUGGUAGUGCCCGCGCAUCCGGAACUCGCAGUGCUGUAGGCGGGCACAGGAGGGUCAGGACAGGAAGCCGCACACAUUAUGAUACAAAGUCACCGUUCUCGCCACAAGGAGCCACCACCAUCCAGUGAGGAGGGUCCCUUCCACCCCUGAGAGCUCAGACCCUGUGCAGGUGAGUGCCCCCUCGCCCUGUCUGUGACCUCCCCAGCCCUGCAGACAUUCUACCAUGGGUGUGCACCCCUGAGGAUGCCCACGCGGAGGCCCGGAGGGAGAUGCAGCCCUCUUUGUCGGGCAAGCAAACAUCCUUUGAGGACUACCACGCCCAGCCCACCCAGGCCGGUCCUUGCGUGAUCACCACCUGCCCGCCCGGAGCAGAGGCCACUACCUCUACCGUCUCCCCCACCCGGACACCUGCUCCGGGAAUAGGCAGUGAGGUAUGAGCAGCAGCAUCUUUGGCUAGAAGGACAUCGCCCAAUGGCCAUGUCCCAGAGAGGCAGGGGACGGCCAGCGCUAACUGCAGGGUGAGGAGCAGGGCCUCCUCAGCCGCCCUUGCUAGCACCUACUCCCAAGACGCGAGGGGAACAUGGGACUCCCGGCUCAUCGAGGGACUCACUUCUCCUGGAACUGGAGGAAUCCGGGUUUGACCUGGGGCUUGGCGUUCUCUAGAGAAGUCGUUGCCAAGGGCGAAGCGGGCAGCUCCUUCAUUGUGUGUGCACGCAUGUGACAGCAAGCCCUGCCUCCUGAAGCCCUUCCCUCCAUCACCCACUCUGAGGUUUUAAGGCAGGACUCUCUUCUGCGGACUAGCAGCUGGGAUGCCCAUGUGCUGAGAACAGCCUGGUCUGGGGCUUAGAGAGCCCUGAAGAUCUGUAUUAAAUGUUUACAAAUUCUGA
Lemur catta (Ring-tailed lemur) is the source of this 1548-nucleotide long non-coding RNA. RefSeq lists it as uncharacterized. The record is from RefSeq and is a predicted model, not a curated record. The transcript is spliced from 3 exons. Lineage: Eukaryota; Metazoa; Chordata; Mammalia; Primates; Lemuridae.